CAGUUAAACUUUAAUUUCAGAUAAACAAUUUUAGUAUAACUGUGUCCCAUGCAAUACUUGGGACAUAUUUAUGCUAAAAAUUGUUUGUUGUGUUUCUGAAACUCAAAUCUAACUGGACAUCCUAGUUUUUU
RNAcentral lists this microRNA precursor (131 nucleotides) under Ovis aries (sheep). Its description in RNAcentral is "miRNA (ENSOARG00000024166.1)". The stretch from base 28 to 79 matches the Rfam family "mir-1302 microRNA precursor family". Lineage: Eukaryota; Metazoa; Chordata; Mammalia; Artiodactyla; Bovidae. The record is from RNAcentral.